UUUUUUCCUGGUAGCAGGAGUUUUUAGCAACUGUAAAUGUUUCCAGAUGGCAAGGAUAAAAAGUUGGUCUGCAAGAAAGCCACCUUCACGACUGAUAUUCGGAAACAUAGUCAUAUUUAAUUGGAGGGGUUUUGAAUGCAGCCUGAAUCCAAGACACAUGAAGAGGAGAUACCUUCUCUGUACUGGGGGAUGGAUCCUGUAUUUUCUGCAUUUGCAAGGCUCUAUAUUAAAGAUAUAAAAGAAAUGAGAGAAUCUAAACAAGUGCCAGGUAUAUUCUUUUAUAAUGGACGUCCAGUAAGACAGGUGGAUGUUGUUGGGAUAGUGGUUCAAAUGAAAGAGCGAGAUGCCUUUUAUAAUUAUGGAGUGGAUGACAGUACUGGAGUUAUAAAUUGUAUUUGUUGGAAAAAUCCCAUGGUAGCAGAAACAUCUUUAUCAGGUUGUCCAAGCACACCCAACAGUCUUACUGUGCUUGAACAGAUGAAGAAACUCCAAGAAAUGGUGAGCCAGAAAACCCAGCUGGAGAUUGGGGAUGUUGUCAGGGUCAGAGGUCACAUCCGAACCUACAGGCAACAAAGAGAAAUUCAGGCUUCAUGUUUUUAUAAAGUGGAUGAUCCUGUGUGUGAUGUUCAGAUUUCAAGAAUGCUGGAGCUCCCCUGUCUCUAUAGAGAAGUUUAUGAUAAACCUUUCCAAUACCCCAAGGAGGGACAGAGUGGCCUGGAGCAUCAGAAUUUCUCAAUCAAUAUGCUGUAUGAGAAAGUGAAAAGCUUUCUAUUAGAAAACAAAAUCCAGACCUUUUACCAACAGGAGCUGGAAACAAUUGAUACUCUGGUGUCGCUGGCUGGUGUGCAUCUACCCAGUCUCAGCUGUCAGGAGGUGAAGUCAAAAAGUGACUCCAGUUCCAAAAGGAUUCACAGUGUUUUUAAGGAAGCAGUAAGGAUGCUACAAGAAAAAGGGAUGGUUUUCCAGAAACCUAGUAGCUCCAAGGACUUAUACCAUGUGACUGUCCAUGAUAAGGAGCUGCUUAAAGUGACCCUUGAUGUGAUUAAAGAAGACUGUCGAAAACCCAGGCAUGCUGAAAAAGGCUGCCAUUUCCUUCAUGUCCUGAGUUGUGUUCGGCAGAGCUAUAACCCCUCUCUGGCUGAAGUGGUGAUGCACCGUGUCUUGGAACUGCUGGAGAGCAACAGUGAUGUUGUCAGCACUAUGGAAGGAUAUUAUAUGACAUUUUAAAGAAAAGAAGAUGAUACGUUUGUUCUGGUCCAUUCAGGAUAAAGGAGGGAAGAAGGGAGAGGUCGAGUGACCCUGAAGAGCUGCUAUUACUUGGUAUGACCUAGAUGGGGAAAAAAGAGCUUUCUGGUUCUCCAAAUGUUGUUUUUGUCCAGCUCCAGAGAAGUUGUCCAAAUAUUUGUUUUAAUAUUCUUGCUGUAUUCCUUGCUAUUCUCAGUGAAAGUUGUAUCAAACUGAUUUUGGACAUCCUAAUACAGCAGGGAAGCUGGAAAAGAAGCUGGGCUCUUUCCUUGCAGUAAGAUGCGACAUAGCUGUCCUCACAUUUACAUCUAGUGAGCUAUAAAGAAAAGUCACUGCAAAAAAGCACUGUUUACAGCAGUGGUCAUGUCAGGAAUCAUUUUUCUGGCUUAAAGACUAAUCUUGUGAUCUUUCCACAUGGUAAUAGCUAUGGAUCUUUCUUUUUAUGUAUACUUUAUAAUAGCUAGAGAAAGGACAUGCAAGCAAACAAUCAAAAGAUUUGCCUGUCCUUUCUGGUGGUGUUGGUGUACCAUGUCUGUAAAUAUGUAUUCCUGAAUGUGCACAGCGUUCUCACUACUAAAGCAGUCCUCACCUUUCUCUGAAAAGUAAUAUUCAGGAAUGGGAUCCUGCAUCCCUUUCCCAUCCUGCAACCUUGCCCGCUGCUUGUCAAGCAUACUUGGAUUCCCCUGGCUACCAUGUGUGCUGCUGAUGCAUGUUGUUGUGGAUUUUGUUCAGACCAGAAUUCUCAAAAUCAGCCACUGUUUUGCUGUGUAUUUUUAAAUUGCUUCCUACAUCACAAAUGAUAAACCAUAAAUCAGAUGCUUUGGAAAAGAAGAUAUGAAAGCCAGCAAGACCCACUAUAUCCAUAUUUAUCUCCAUGCUCCCUUUUGCCUUUUGUGUCUUCUAUUCCUUGUCACCUUUGGGGAAAAAUACUAUCCAUAUCUGUGCUUGCAGAGGAACACAAGGCAUUGAUGAAAUAACAUUGACCUAAAGGAGGUUACUUGCAAGAUGUUUGAUCUGGAAUAAUCAGAACUCUGUCAUGUGCCACAGUUCAAAGCCCCGAGCUGUUCAGUAUUUAUCCUUAGAGAGGGCUCGCUGCUGCAGGGGCUUGUCUGUUUAAUAUAUCUGUUUAAUUAAUGGUAUGAAGGUGAGACCUUUAACUUGAAAGGAGUAGAGAGGAUUGAAUGUAUCCUUCCUCUUUGCUCUGCACCUUCCCUGUAACAGUUGAAAUAGCAGACUCCCAGGAGGCAGAUGUAGUGGUAAACCCUAUAAGGAUUGACAUAGCAGGGAAAAAUAAACCAUAUGCGUGAGGAAAGCCAGUGAGUAGCCCUACGUGUGCCAGGUCUCUGGUUUGUUGUUAUAUUAUAUGCCUCAUUCCAAGCCCUGGCUGCAGUGAGAUAUAGGCUAAGAGAAAAGCAUGACAAAAUAUUUGGCAUUUGCAUUCAGAGGCCUGUGGAAAACUCUGGCCUUAAAGAGAUGGUGCAUUUGUCCAUAGUGGAAUGCUAUGUAUGAAUCAUUCUUUUGCUGUAAAUUCCCUACUUGCUGCAGGGCUCAGUAGUUGGUUUCCCUGCAGGCUGCCCUAUUCCUAGUGUUGCUGCUCUGUUUUGAGUUGGGUACCUUCCAGUCAGAUCUCAAUAUGGGCCCAAACAGGUGCUGAAGGGAUGUACCUGUGCAGAAGGAAAUAAAAGAGGAUUAAGAAAGAAUUAUAGAAGUUUCCCUGUCUGCUCUCCCACCGUGAACGUCUCUGGAAAGCAGGGAAAGAAGUCCAGUGGUACUGAGGGGAAUUGCAACUUUAAUUUAUUCCUACAAAAAGGUCUGGUUGGCCACAGAGGAGAUUUGCUUCUCAGAUUCCUGCUCUGAUUACUGAUCAGUUUGAAGUGAUGCUUAAAAACAAAAGCUCUCUAUUGGAGAAGUAGUUUGGAAUAUCGAUUCCUAAAUUCAGACUCCCUUCAGGAGUUAACCAUAUGUUACUGCUUGAUUAUGGACAAGUCACCUACUUGGCAUGAACUUGAGGGUAUUUUAAAGGAAAGUAUGUGGUGUCUUGGACCAUAUGGAAGAGCAUGGCAUCUAAUUUAAGAGAGUGACUUGGCCGUUUUCUCGAAAGUCCUAAAUUAGCAGAAUCUGAUUUUGCUUGGAAAGGGUUAAAAGAACACUGCUAGCUCAGUUGGAAAGGUGAUCUCUUUUCUUAGAUUAGGAGAGAGAAAGACUCUGGUUCUUCUGAGGGUGUCAGCCAAGUGUGUGAGCUGGAUGAGUUGUGGGAGGAGCUCUGUGCAGCUGAAUCUUCAAGGAAAAGAUAGUGUGGAGAUCGUAUUGCUCUUUAGAGUUUCUUUAAGAUAAAUUUGUAUCAAAAUAGGAUUACAUCUUUGUCCUUUGCAGCUUGGAUAGUCUAAUGUGUUCUGUUGCUUCCAACUUUGACACUGCACUUCCUGUGUUUUAGAUGUGUUUCUAUGUGUAAAGUCUGCCUAAAAUCCCUGGCCACCUAUUUUCCAUGCAUUGGAGGCUGAUGCAGUGUCUUGCCUCUCUGUUCUGCCACUGUUGCAAUUUAAAAGCACCAAUCAACUGUGAAGCAUCAGAGAUGAGGUAGGAAGAAUUCAUCUCUGGAAAGACGGAUAAGUGACUCUGGAAAGAACCUGUCCUUGGAAGUUUUUAAGCUGGUCCUUGCUAGCGAUGCUGGACUCUUAUGACUGAGGGUGCAUUCUGUUGGAGAUUGCUCUCCAAGAACAGGAGAAAGGAGUUUUUCUCACUUAACUCAGGGAAAUAUGAACAUAAGGGAGCUUAGAGUUUUUACUAGAGCGGAGGAGCCUAGAUUUAAGUUACACAGAUUCUAAUUCUGAAUAACCGUACGGAAUACUUGUGCCUUAAGCUUGCAUGCUUUUAUUUUUUCCACGGUAGCCACCCAACACAGACUAACACUUACUCUGGUUGAGUGCGUUCCCUCUCUUGUACCUACAGGGAAUACCGUAUGCAUAUGCCUGCACAGAACUACCCCAGCUAGCUGUGGGAGCACAGAGCUCUCUGUAGGUUGAUUUACCCAUUCACUCAGUAUCUCUACAGUAUGCUUCUGUGACAGCAGUCUAGACAUACCCAUAUUGGUAUAAGUCACCUUUAUGUAAGUCUAACUACACACACUAGGGCUUUUACUGCUAAUAAACUGUCUCUCUGUUUAAAGAUCAUAUCCUUAACCAAGAGAGUCAUAUCAUGCACACUGUUAAAAUUCUUAGACCACACCUACAAAAUAUUGUGCAGAAUAUUCAAUGAAAGCGUGCUUUCUUGUUUUGUUUAAUUUGAAAACUCAUUAAGCAACACAAUUAUUACUGGUUUAUUAAAGGACUUUGAAGGUGGCACUUUAACGUAAAACUGACAAGUGAGAAUUCAUGUUGCAGGACUGCUUCAUGGUCAGUUCCAGUUUCCAUAGAAACAGUUAUGGCAGUAAAAGGCAGGUAAGUAAAAUGGAGUUUUUAAAAGCUGUCAGCAUUUUUAUGUUACCUUUAAAAAGGUAUGUUUCCAUAGAAAUGCAGCACCUGAGAACAAAAAUUACCAAAGAAUCUUAAUAUUCUCUUCCAGCAAAGUAUAAGAUGAUUGCUUUUCUGGUGAGGAAAUGAAGGAACAGCUCUACCUUCAGCCCCCGCCAUCUGCUUAGGUGAGAGAAGAGACGAGGUUGCUUCAUGCCUCAGUUUCCCUCUUUUGUAAACUAGGGAUAAUACAGCUCCCUGUGCAGGGCAUAAGCCUCUAUUUUUCUUAAUGUUAGUCAUUAAAAGCUCUUGAGAUCUAUUGGUGAGAGCUGUUAGAGAAGAGCUCUGUGGGAGUGGAUGAAUGGAUAGAUGCUGGAGUGGGACUUAGUUCUAGCCCAAGCCCCACUUUUGCUAACAGCUUUAUUUUUCUCUGCCUCUCUUUCCAUGCAUAUUGUUUUGCCUGUCUUGUCUUUUUGCUCUCCAGGUCCUAUGAGGCAAUGAUGGUCUCCGUGUUUUUAGUUGUACCAAAUAUUUUUCCUGGAAUCCUGUUCCCUAUUAUGACUUCUUAAAUGGCUUCUUAAAUAUAGAAAUUCAGAUGAAUGAGUUCUGAGUGUUCUUGUUCUCAAAUCUUUGGAUUGUAAAUUUGUACCCAUGAGGGUAUUUUGUCCUUUCUAAAAGACCAAUGCCUUGGAUGCUCAAAGUGAGAUGCUAAAGUAAGAGCUGGACACCAAAAUGCCUUUGAGGAUCAAAAUGUUCAGGACAAUGUAAUGGUCACUUACACAGAUGCUGCUGCUAACUGAUGGAAGCAGUCCUGAAGGAGAAGCUGCCCUUCUCAUAGGUGGUCUCUGGGUGCCUUAGUCACUAGACCGGUGGCUGAAAAAGACUCCUGUUAGUGAAAUGGUCUGUAGGGUUGCGUCCCUGGUGCUGCAUGGCCACGGCUUAACACAUGCCUGGAUUCAGAUAGAUGCCUGGAAUUAUGUGGAUGGUGUGUCCACUGUUCCAAAUUGAGAACCACACCUAUACCAGCCCCUGCUAAAGAAACUAUAGCUCCACUUUCCACAAGAUAUUUUCUGGUUUGGGAUGAUCUCAUUCCUUGUUGCCAAGCAAUAAACAUUCUACAGGGCAUUUGGUUUUUCAAGCAUCUCUAUGACUGCCAUACAAAGUCUAACCUGGGAAUGACUGGGGGGAAAAAAUACUGUUUAUAUCUACCCGUGGGCUGAUGUUGCUGCUGAGGAGGUCCAAAAGUGUUCUUCCUAAAGAAGUCUCUCUACUGGGAAAACCACUUCGCUUUUGCAUGAAGGUAACUUCAAAAAAAAAAUUAAAAAAAAAUCAAUGCACUCCACUGCUGAAUGGUAGAGGUUGCACG
Molecule: RNA transcript, 6060 nt
Organism: Grus americana (Whooping crane)
Lineage: Eukaryota; Metazoa; Chordata; Aves; Gruiformes; Gruidae
Gene: STN1
Gene name: STN1 subunit of CST complex
Exons: 12
Source: RefSeq, a predicted model, not a curated record